RNAcentral lists this ribosomal RNA (415 nucleotides) under Vibrio parahaemolyticus. RNAcentral's name for it is "bacterial SSU rRNA". It matches the Rfam family "Bacterial small subunit ribosomal RNA", at positions 988 to 1402 of the family's 1533-position model. Lineage: Bacteria; Pseudomonadati; Pseudomonadota; Gammaproteobacteria; Vibrionales; Vibrionaceae. The record is from RNAcentral.
CCAGAGAACUUUCCAGAGAUGGAUUGGUGCCUUCGGGAACUCUGAGACAGGUGCUGCAUGGCUGUCGUCAGCUCGUGUUGUGAAAUGUUGGGUUAAGUCCCGCAACGAGCGCAACCCUUAUCCUUGUUUGCCAGCGAGUAAUGUCGGGAACUCCAGGGAGACUGCCGGUGAUAAACCGGAGGAAGGUGGGGACGACGUCAAGUCAUCAUGGCCCUUACGAGUAGGGCUACACACGUGCUACAAUGGCGCAUACAGAGGGCGGCCAACUUGCGAAAGUGAGCGAAUCCCAAAAAGUGCGUCGUAGUCCGGAUUGGAGUCUGCAACUCGACUCCAUGAAGUCGGAAUCGCUAGUAAUCGUGGAUCAGAAUGCCACGGUGAAUACGUUCCCGGGCCUUGUACACACCGCCCGUCACAC